GAAGGGUGCAAGCGUUAAUCGGAAUUACUGGGCGUAAAGCGCGCGUAGGUGGUUCAGCAAGUUGGAUGUGAAAGCCCUGGGCUCAACCUGGGAACUGCAUCCAAAACUACUGAGCUAGAGUACGGUAGAGGGUAGUGGAAUUUCCUGUGUAGCGGUGAAAUGCGUAGAUAUAGGAAGGAACACCAGUGGCGAAGGCGACUACCUGGACUGAUACUGACACUGAGGUGCGAAAGCGUGGGGAGCAAA
RNAcentral lists this ribosomal RNA (246 nucleotides) under uncultured bacterium. RNAcentral describes it as "partial 16S ribosomal RNA". It matches the Rfam family "Bacterial small subunit ribosomal RNA", at positions 527 to 772 of the family's 1533-position model. The record is from RNAcentral.